AAGUCGUAACAAGGUAACCGUAGGUGAACCUGCGGUUGGAUCAUUAAUAUAAUGACUCUUUUAUAGGGAGACGAGGGAGACUGGGUGUUCUGGAUUACGUCCUGGGGUUUACACUCAGGAGACUGGAGCACUUGGAUUACUUCUCUGCAGACUCCCUUUAAAAGUGACUAACCAUUUGUGCACUGUGAUGUUUUUUGGGUCUAGCUUUAAACCUAGGCCCUGCCAUUUGAAAACCAAUUUUAAACUUGACUAAAAUUUUAAAUAUAAAAAUUUAAAACUAUAGACAACGGAUCUCUUGGUUCUC
RNAcentral lists this unclassified non-coding RNA (304 nucleotides) under fungal sp. Its description in RNAcentral is "partial internal transcribed spacer region". The stretch from base 1 to 46 matches the Rfam family "Eukaryotic small subunit ribosomal RNA", at positions 1786 to 1831 of the family's 1831-position model. The record is from RNAcentral. Lineage: Eukaryota; Fungi.